Molecule: ribosomal RNA, 871 nt
Filed under: uncultured bacterium
Lineage: Bacteria
Description: bacterial SSU rRNA
Rfam family: Bacterial small subunit ribosomal RNA
Source: RNAcentral
AGAGUUUGAUCAUGGCUCAGAGUGAAUGCUUGUGGUAUGCCUUAACACAUGCAAGUCUAAUUUUUAAAAGUAUAUUUUUAAAAAUGCUAAGAGGUGAGUAGUAUGCAAGUAGACUACCUAAUAAUAUAGUUAAAAUUUUUUAUGUAAUACUGCAUAGUGAAAACAACUAAUCGACGUUUUCAUAAAGAUUAUUAUCGUUAUUAGAUGUUCUUGUAUAAGAUUAGGUUGUUGGGGAGUUAAUAGCUGACCAAGCCUUAUCUUUAGUUGAUCUGGGAGGAUGAUCAAUCACAUUGGGAUAGAAAUAAGGCCCAACUUUCUUCUAAGUAGCAGCAGUGGGAAUCUUGGACAAUAUGCGAAAGCAUGAUCCAGCGAUAUCGCGUUGGGGAUGAAGAUUUAAUUAUCGUAAACUUUUAGCCAUUUUUUGAAUAAUGAUCAUUAAAUGGAAAGCUCCGACUAACUUCGUGCCAGCAGUCGCGGUAAAACGGGGGGAGCUAGCGUUACUCGGAGUAAUUGGCGUAAAGGGUGCGUAGGUUGUAUUUAUUUACAUACGUUUAAAGAUAAUAGGUGUAACCUUUUAUAGAAUGUAUCUGAUUAUAAUACUGGAGUUUAAAAGAGGAAAGUCGUACUUUUAGUGGAAAGGUAGAAUUUGUCAUAUAUUAAGGGGACGGUCAAUAGGUGUAGGCACUGUCUAUAGUAAAACUGACGCUCAAGCACAAAAGUAUGGGGAUCAAAUAGGAUUAGAGACCCUAGUAGUCCAUACCCUGACCUAUGAGUGUUGAAUAUGAGAAAACUAUUUUUGUAUUUAAGUUAACGCUUAAACACUCCGCCUGGGCAGUACGAUCGCAAGGUUGAAACUCAAAGGAAUUGACGG